This is a long non-coding RNA of Cucumis melo (muskmelon), 862 nucleotides long. RefSeq lists it as uncharacterized. The record is from RefSeq and is a predicted model, not a curated record. Lineage: Eukaryota; Viridiplantae; Streptophyta; Magnoliopsida; Cucurbitales; Cucurbitaceae. The transcript has 2 exons.
CCAAAUGGAGCAAGUAGACUGAGGCCUCCGGAUGGUUGGUGACACUUCAUUGUACUUUAACUGUGAAUAAUGUUUCAAAUUUUAGGUCAUACCUAUACGCUUCCAACUUGCCCUCUCUUCCAUCCUCACUCUCAGUUUUUGUUUUAUUUUGUCUUACAUCUAUUUCUUGGUUUUCUUUGAGGGUGCUUAUCUAUUACUAGUUACUGCAUCUUUCUCAACUUUUGUUAAUCUUUUUUUAAAAAAGAAAAAUUCAUCAUCGGUUUUCCACCAUGCGUUACUCUCUUUUAAUCUUUAGAAACAUUAGUAUUCUUAUCUAUGCGUGGUAUUAUUUAAUAGUUAGAAACAUUUGUUAACCAAAGGGAAUAGUAGCCACUAGUUUUACCUCAGAAUCAAAUGGAGAGGUUCGUAGCCUUGUAUUUUAAGCCUCUUGCUUGUCAAUGAUGAUUUUAGAAAACCAAUAAAUCAUGAAGCGAAUCUUUUAGGUGAAGCAAGUCAAACUCAACAAAGGCAGGACUCCUGACGCUGAUAUUGUUGUUGUGGGUGUCGGAGGCAGACCCUUGAUCUCUUUGUUCAAAGGGCAGGUCGAAGAAGAUAAGGGAGGUCAUUAAGAAAAAAAGGGGAAAAUGAUAUAGAAGUCUCACCUUAUGGCAUCUUAUGGGUGGUUUGGGAUGUAGAAAGAGUUGAGGAUAUAUCACGGGACUUCAAAAAGGUGUGAGAUAAAGUAAUUUUUGCAUUUUAUCUCAUUUCUUUUUCCUUCUUUUAUCAAAUGUAAGUUAGUACGCCUCCAAGAUGAUCUUGUCUUUAUGAAUUUUCUUAAACUCUAUAACCUAGCACAAACUAUUUAAGUAAGUUGUUGAUACUA